GAGAUCCUUUCGCUUUCUACCUAUCGCAGGUGGUGCACAUUGAGAUAAACGAGUUGGAAAAAAAUGUGGCGAUGCGCCUUGGUGCUCUUAUAUGUGAUUGCCUUUCUGUGGUUUAGCGACGCACUUCUCUGCGGCAACAUUAAGAGAAGGUCUGAGGAUGGCAGAGUCCUCCAAGAAGUACAAAAGAUCGACCCUCAUAUAUCCUUGAAUAGACUUGCAUCAUUGCCACAAUCAGGAUUCAGACAUGAACCUUGCAAGGGAGCAGCGGGAACAGACGAAACCGCCCAACUUCUUCGAGUACGUGUGUCCGGAAGAGUACAACCAUCUAUCUCGCCUGUGGAGAAUGCGGCGUUAACCUCACUUUUGACGAAAAUUGUAACCCGUGAACUAUCACAUUGUGUACUGGUGCUGCUGUGGGAUGAAGUGUAUGCACGCACGCCUCUCAUCGACACACUGGUUCACCUUCCAAACCCAAAACAGGUAGUCGAGGUGUCGGACGUUAAAAAAUUAGGUCAGCUGCUGUGGCGAGCAGAACAGUGCCGAGGUUACCUCCUCCUACUGAAAGAUGCUUCGGCCCUCAUGCAUCUUGCUGAGCACACCCCUCAUGAUGCC
This is a long non-coding RNA of Scylla paramamosain (green mud crab), 612 nucleotides long. RefSeq lists it as uncharacterized. NCBI's taxonomy places the organism in Eukaryota, Metazoa, Arthropoda, Malacostraca, Decapoda, Portunidae. The record is from RefSeq and is a predicted model, not a curated record. The transcript is spliced from 3 exons.